UACUUGACGAGAGUGGAAACUCUGUCCAAUC
RNAcentral lists this non-coding RNA (31 nucleotides) under Mus musculus (house mouse). The record is from RNAcentral. Lineage: Eukaryota; Metazoa; Chordata; Mammalia; Rodentia; Muridae.